UCAUUUUAGGAUGAUAUCAGUUGAAAUGGCUGAAAAAUCAUAAAUACAACCAAUAAUAUAAUUUAAUGGCUUAUCACUUUUGACCAAUAGGUGGUGCUGUUUUCAAAUUGAUGUGAUGCGUUCUGUGUGAGGUGACAAUGACACACAAACAAAUUUUGGUGUCAUUAUGCCAAAGCUUUACAGAGAUACAGCCUCAGAAUCAUUUUGGCAUCAAGCCUAAAAUCUGUAGUGGCGCUGUACGAAAAUGGUUUUGUCUAUCGACACGAAAUCCAUAACUUUUAGUAAGCACAGUCUGAAGAUGAUUUGAAUCAAAUUUGGUGAAAAUCAGACCAACGGUCUAGGAGGAGUUUGAAAAAGUAUGUUUUGUACAUUAAUCAAAAUGGCGGAAAAGAAAGCUAAGCGAAGUGUGGUAUAAUUGAUAUGUAUGUUGUCGGCAUGUCACAAGGAAUAUUUUGAGACCAGUUUUAUUACUAUAGGCUAAUGCAAACAGAAAUUAUUAGCAUUUUUGGAAAUUUCAUUGUUAAUGUUUAAUGAAUGUAUUACUUCUGACCAAUAGGUGGCACUGUUACCAAAUUGAUGUGGCGUGGUCAGUGUGAUGUGACAAUGGCACAUAUAAAAUUUGGUGUCAAUAUUUCAAAGAUUUGCAGAGAUACAGCCUCAGAAGUAGUUUGGCAUCUUUCCAGCAAAUUCGUUGAUGUGCUUAACGAAAACCGUUUCGUAUAUCGACACGAAAUCCAUAACUUUUUGUCAGCAAGGUCUGAAGAUGAUCUGAGUCAAAUUUGGUGAAAAUCGGACUAACGGUCUAGGAGGAGUUCGAAAAAGUAGGUUUUCAACAUGAAUCAAAAUGGCGGACAGGAUGUUUGGCCAAUAUUGGAAUAAUGGGUAUCAAUGUUUUUGGCUUGACCCAAGGAAUCUAUUGAGAUCACUUUCAUUACAACAGGCUAAUGUAAGCUGAAGUUAUUAGCAUUUUUGUAAAUUUCUUUAUAACUUUUGACCACAAGGUGGCGCUGGCCCAAAAAUUUUUAUGUACAUUCAGGGCAUGGUGCCGAACAUUUUUGUAAUUAAUGUCGAAACGAUACGCUAAUCUGUUCUCAAGAUACAGCAUUUUAAAGCUAAAUUCAAAAUGGCCGACACCCAAAAUGGCUGACAUGGGAAAAUUGGAUAUGGUUCGACUCGGUAUGACACACCGAAUCUAAAGAGACCAGUUUUGUGAUUUUUGGACAAAUCAUUCAGACGUUAUAAAGAAAAAUAGCCAUUUUUCGUAUCUCCUGACCACUAGGGGGCACUGGACCGAAACACUGCAGUUAGCCUCAGGUCAUGCUUGUUAUAACACACACCAAGUUUGGUGUCAAUAUGCCAAACUGUUACGGAGAUAUAGCCUCACAUUGAUUUUUGCUAGCUUUUCGUAGAAUUCUUUCGCGUGUUAUUCGUGAACGGCUGGACGAAUCGACUUGAAUUCCAUAACUUUUUGCCAGCGUGGUCUGAAGAUGAUCUGGAUCAAUUUUUGUGACAAUCGGUGCAACGGCCUAGGACGAGUUCGAAAAAGUAGGUUUUACGAACAAUUGAGAAUAGCGAAAAAACUAAACCUUAC
Long non-coding RNA from Labeo rohita (rohu), 1591 nucleotides. RefSeq lists it as uncharacterized. The transcript is spliced from 2 exons. Lineage: Eukaryota; Metazoa; Chordata; Actinopteri; Cypriniformes; Cyprinidae. The record is from RefSeq and is a predicted model, not a curated record.